GGUCCUGUGAGCUGUAGGUGAUAGGGCUGAGACUGCUCCAUUAGAAUUACAGUGCUCUGAACUGCGGGGUGCAGUUAAGAGGGGACAGAGGUGGAGCAGAGGCCCACCCACUUUCUGGGGAUUGGCCCCANAACCCCUUUUUUAUGAAGCCUCAAUAACCCCUGGCAGGUCCUGUGAGCUGUAGGUGAUGGGGCUGAGGCUGCUCCAUUAGAAUUACAGUGCUCUGAACUGCGGGGUGUAGUUAAGAGGGGACAGAGGUGGAGCAGAGGCCCACUUUCUGGGGAUUGGCCCUGCAGCUCAUUCCAUGAGGCAACCUCCAGCCCCAGACAGAACAACAGGAGAAGAACUCCAGGAAGGAAUCCUCAUUGAGAUUUUCUCCCAUAGAGACCCAUCUCAUGGGUUUUACUGCAGGAGAGGAUUGAGGUGUGAAGAAUUUUAUGGCAGUCCCUAAGACAUUACCAGGAUGGGAAAGCUUUUGCCCAUCCCCUGGAUUUUGACAUUCUAAGCUCCCCUUGGGCAUUUCAUCUCUGACUACUGGAACAUCAACUUGUUGGAGGCUCUGAAAAUCCAAUAAAUCAAUAAUUACAUUAAUAGAUUAUUUUUUUCUUUAGAAAAAAUAAAAACCUGUUAAAGUAAAAAAUUCAUAAUAAGGGCCCAAUUUUGUGGAAGCUUUUGCAUGUCAGUAGUCCCAUUCAUGUAAAUUAGUCAGUUGAACUGCAGGUGAGUAAAGUUACCCACACGUGUGAAUAUUAGCAGGAUUGGGAACCGGGCAAGAUCCUCAGCUGGUAUAAAGCAGUUUAGCUUCUUUAGAGUCACAUACACUAAUUACUAAGGUGAUUAAGAAGAAAGCUAGAAGGAAAAACAUUUACCCCAACUCACUCCUCCUUUCUGCUUAAAGUCUAGUUUUACAGUGGUGUAACUGAGAGUUCAGAAUCUGACCAGAGGUGCUGAGCUGCAAUCCCUGUACAGCUUGUCUACAUUACCAAAUGGACUACUGCGGACACUGGGCGCAGCUAAAUCUGUGCACGAUUCUUCAAAGGCCCCCUGCUUCACUUCUGCUACAAGGCAUCACUGAGGACUCUUCCCACACUGCAGAGAAACCUGCAGCAUCCUUCCUGCCUGCAGAGGAGAGUGGCAGCAGGAAGCCACAGGGGCUUUGGGAUGAAAGGGAAGUUAUGGAUUCUUUAAGGAACUCCCUGCUCUACAUACGUGUUUUCUGAUCUGUCAUACUAAUCUUUACAGCAGUAGUUCUCAAACUUUUUUUUUUGCAAACCACUUGAAAAUUGCUGAGGGUCUCAGCGGACCACUUAAUGAUCUUUCCAAAUGUUGUUUGUACCAUUAGCUAACUAUUGUAAAGCCUUUUGGAUAAAGCACUAUAAAAAAUAAAACCUUAAUAAUAGAAAAAGUUUUUUUGUUC
RNAcentral lists this long non-coding RNA (1417 nucleotides) under Gopherus agassizii (Agassiz's desert tortoise). RNAcentral describes it as "lncRNA (ENSGAGG00000016036.1)". Lineage: Eukaryota; Metazoa; Chordata; Testudines; Testudinidae. The record is from RNAcentral.